AAAUCAAUGUAUAAGAGGUCCUACCUGCCCAGUGACAUUAAGUUAAACGGCCGCGGUAUUUUGACCGUGCUAAGGUAGCGCAAUCACUUGUCUUUUAAAUGAAGACCUGUAUGAAUGGUGAUACGAGGGCUUAACUGUCUCCCUUUUUAGGUCAAUGAAAUUGAUCUGCCCGUGCAGAAGCGGACAUAAAAAUACAAGACGAGAAGACCCUUUGGAGCUUAAGACACAAGGUCAACUAUGUCAAAAUUACUACAAAAGAAAAUGAAACAAAAUACCAACUGACCAUAGUCUUCGGUUGGGGCGACCGCGGGGGAAAAGAAAGCCCCCAUGUGGAGUGGGUUAAAACCUAAAACUACGAGAGACACCUCUAAGUCACAGAAUAUCUGACCAAAAGAUCCGGCACUUAGCCGAUCAACGAACCAAGUUACCCUAGGGAUAACAGCGCAAUCCCCUCCAAGAGUCCUUAUCGACAAGGGGGUUUACGACCUCGAUGUUGGAUCAGGACAUCCUAAUGGUGCAGCCGCUAUUAAGGGUUCGUUUGUUCAACGAUUAAAGU
RNAcentral lists this ribosomal RNA (556 nucleotides) under Creagrutus melanzonus. RNAcentral's name for it is "partial 16S ribosomal RNA". It matches the Rfam family "Bacterial large subunit ribosomal RNA", at positions 1835 to 2594 of the family's 2925-position model. Lineage: Eukaryota; Metazoa; Chordata; Actinopteri; Characiformes; Stevardiidae. The record is from RNAcentral.